Chiloscyllium plagiosum (whitespotted bambooshark) is the source of this 1137-nucleotide non-coding RNA. NCBI's taxonomy places the organism in Eukaryota, Metazoa, Chordata, Chondrichthyes, Orectolobiformes, Hemiscylliidae. The record is from RefSeq and is a predicted model, not a curated record.
GUUAUGUCUAUUAAUUUUUGGAUGUACCUCACUCUGUGAUUCAAUGGCAUUGCACAGACAAAGAAAAUACAGAAAGCUCUGUAAAACAAAUGGUGCUGGAUCACAGGAACAUGAGCCAUCCUCCCACCACAGUGAUGUCUCCACAAGACCAUAAUAGGCCUAACUGUAAUCCCCAGAUUGCAUUUGACCUACAAGACUGACCAUGGUCAAUUCCUGGACUGCAAAGACUUAAAUUCCCAGACUCAGGUUCAGUUAGCCUUCCCUGCAACCUCUCCUGAUAAGUUCUCGGCUCCACCGAAAGUGGAGCUCUGGACUCCUGAGCCUUCAGAGGAAUCAUCAGCAAGGCUGCCAUCUGCAGCCCACACCAUCCCAGACACUGACUCCUCAGGGAAACCAUAGGCACAGAAUACAAAAUAUGGUGAGCACCUCCCAGUGACAGCUAUGCUGCUGGCUGAGGAAGAGAUGGCUCACAGCAGCUGGCACCGAGAGGGCUAUCAAGGAUCAGACAACUGCUCAGCAUGAAGCAGGAGAAGAUGCUGUGGUGUCAGCAACAAGGAACUUCAUCCAAAUUUGCAGGGAGGCUGAACAGCAGCAGCUGGACAGGAUGCAGUGGCUUUCGUUGCCCCAGAAGUUGCAUUCUUCCAGUGAGUCAUGUGACCAUUAACAGAUUGGCAGCUGCCAUGGAGAUCCAAUUCCAGCACCAUCAGGGGCUCCCAGAGACGCAUACUCACCUGGCCUCCAUCAGUCCACCCAGCAGUCCCCAAUAUCAAAGGCAUUUUGACAGGGGGAAGAGGGUGCCUUGACCUUGAUCUUGGUUCACCCUGCUCACAAGGGGCAGAGCGAUGCCAGGAGGCAUCCAGCCAGAGAUGGAGCCACACACAGGCCGCUCAGUACUUUCUCAGCAGGUCUCUGCCAAGGUGUCCAGGUCCUUUGACUCCAUCCUGACUGUCCCCCUCUGACCCUUCGAGUUUGAAGUUUCUGGCAAGAAGACCCUCAGCACGGCAGGUCUAUACAGACAUAAGCACUCCAGGGUUGCUCCACCCAAAUCUCAGGUCAACGGAUUCAGCAGCUGAGCCAUCUCCCUCUACGGCUGCUGCGGAACCAGAGAGUGCACUGAGAUAUUGUGGGAGAGAGAGA